This is a long non-coding RNA of Mangifera indica (mango), 375 nucleotides long. RefSeq lists it as uncharacterized. NCBI's taxonomy places the organism in Eukaryota, Viridiplantae, Streptophyta, Magnoliopsida, Sapindales, Anacardiaceae. The record is from RefSeq and is a predicted model, not a curated record. The transcript has 3 exons.
GGUCAACGUUCUCAUAGUAAAAAAUUCAGUCUAAUUUUUUAAUUUUUUUUGGAAGUUGACUGAGAGGAAUUACAAGGGGAAGUAUAUUGAUCCAGAUGCAAACAACACACUGUGCAUUAAGAUCUUCUAUAAGUCGAGGAGUGCUUAGAUAAAGUGACUUUGGGACAAAUACUGGAACCUGAGUGUCUUGUUUUAUCCCCAAAACCAAAGACAUUAAAGUGGGAAUCAAGCGUUCCCAUCGAGGAUUUUGAAUAUUUUCCAUCCUUGCAUCAAGCUCCUCCUGAACCAUGGUGUCGGGUACCCAAGACAGUCCUACAAAAUUCCAUCCAGUUUCACAUUCACGACUGUGAAGGCAAGCAUAAUCUAGAGGACAAU